GACACGCGGAGGGGUGGGGAUGCUUCGUUCUGCCUCAGAAACUCCCCCUCUCCAAACUUCUCAGCUUCCCGUGGGUGACCUUGAACUCACGACAAGCACUGUUCAUCAAGCAUCAGAAAGAAGAGAUGACAGCAGGAAGAGUAGAACACACUUCCUUAAUCCUUUAAAAGUGAGUUUUUGAAGUAAGCGAGCUCCAUGAUUGACAUUCCUUCUGAUAUGACAUGUGCUGUGGAAGGUAAAUAAAACCACAUACAGACAAA
This 260-nucleotide long non-coding RNA is filed under the name Mus caroli (Ryukyu mouse). Its description in RNAcentral is "lncRNA (MGP_CAROLIEiJ_G0013636.1)". Lineage: Eukaryota; Metazoa; Chordata; Mammalia; Rodentia; Muridae. The record is from RNAcentral.